ACUCCUACGGGAGGCAGCAGUGGGGAAUAUUGCACAAUGGGCGCAAGCCUGAUGCAGCCAUGCCGCGUGUAUGAAGAAGGCCUUCGGGUUGUAAAGUACUUUCAGCAGUGAGGAAGGCAGGUACGUUAAUAGCGUGCUUGUUUGACGUUAGCGACAGAAGAAGCACCGGCUAACUCCGUGCCAGCAGCCGCGGUAAUACGGAGGGUGCGAGCGUUAAUCGGAAUUACUGGGCGUAAAGCGCAUGCAGGUGGUUUGUUAAGUCAGAUGUGAAAGCCCGGGGCUCAACCUCGGAAUUGCAUUUGAAACUGGCAGGCUAGAGUCUUGUAGAGGGGGGUAGAAUUUCAGGUGUAGCGGUGAAAU
Molecule: ribosomal RNA, 360 nt
Filed under: uncultured bacterium
Lineage: Bacteria
Description: bacterial SSU rRNA
Rfam family: Bacterial small subunit ribosomal RNA
Source: RNAcentral